Long non-coding RNA from Mauremys mutica (yellowpond turtle), 725 nucleotides. RefSeq lists it as uncharacterized. The record is from RefSeq and is a predicted model, not a curated record. The transcript is spliced from 4 exons. Lineage: Eukaryota; Metazoa; Chordata; Testudines; Geoemydidae.
CCCAGCAGGGAGCAGCGCGUCAGUCUGUGCUCACGGGAUCCACUUCUUAGGCUAUCCAGCCCCCAUAGCUCUGGAUUCCUCUUUGGAACCCUUCCCGCUCCCCCCCCCUGCUGCCCCCCUCUUAAAAACCAGGCGAUUUCAGCACAUCAGCUCACGGGAGUCAGGGUACAAGUCCUUCCCCACUGCCCUCCCGGGGCGGGGGAGAGGAGGGGCUGAGAAUGGGAACUGGAGUGUCACUUCUGCUUGCCUCUAAACAGCCGCCAAAUGGGAGAAGAAAUGGCUGGUUCCCCAACACCCCUGCUCCCUGACUAAAUCCUUCUUCUGGCUUCAUUCAGCCGGCUGCUUCCCAUGCUGCAUUUCAGGACAAAGACACAUGGCGACUUCGGCAGGGUUUACCGAGAUGUGAGGGAAGAUCCAGUUGGGUUUGGUAACAGGCGGUGUGGGAAAAGGAGAGCAAGGUCAGCAAGGAACCAGGGCAGGGAAAAUACAUCUUCCUAAGCCACAUCUGAACUAAGCAUAUAUAUCUUUAGAUCGUUUAUUAUACGAUUAACUACAAGCAUCGUCUUUGGUGUGAGACCUAAAGUGCACUUGACCCAUGGGACUGAGAGUAACCUAAGUAUUGCUGUGAUCCUUGGUGUAAGGGACCAUCUUUCACAAAGCAAGAGUACAUUCUCCAGGCCUCACAGAGAGUGGACAUUCCCCUGACUAGUGAUACAACCACAUAG